GGCUGGCUUCCUAAGCCUUCCUUUGAAAUCAGGAAGGCUUCCUGAACCCACAACUCUUCUGUUCUGCAUGCUGAGAAAACCAGCACUUUGUGGAUAAUGCCAAGUCAGCUGUCCACAGGAGUAGCAUCCAGGACAUUUGGAUGGCAUAGGUCUGCAGUGGCAGUGAAAGAUCAUGUGGAUUGAAUGACCUUCCCAAGGGUAACUUUUAUUAGGAACCAAAUGAGUCUUGCCUUCCACAGAUGUUUUUUCAAGACUGUAUGUGCAGCAAUAGUGUGAACCAACACCUUCUUUGAAUAGUUUCCCUGAGAACAAUCGAUAACUUUUACAAUAAUUUAACGAAGAUUUGAAAAUGAAGAACAGGAAGCCCAGUCUAGAAAGACUCACAUACCACCUUCAAUUGGUUGCCACAGGAAUAAGGGGAACUCAAAGCAAGAUGCAUCUACGUAGGAUCUCGAGAGGACAAUUGAAAAAAAAAAAAAAACACUCCAGUUGAUAAUGAAGAUAAUGAAGAGGUGUAAAGAGAUGCUGAAGCAUUGUGAAGUACCUGAAAUUAUCUUCCAUGACAACAAGCACUUGUUAUUUACACAGAUGUCACAGAAGACAAGAGAUUACUGGAUCAGAGACAAAGCACAUUUAUACUCACAGCACAGUGGGAAGCAGUCACUGCAUAUUCAUUCCCAUCAGUUCUCUCCUCAACCCCAAGUCCUAUGGCAUUCAAGACAAUUACUGUGAAAUAUAAUUAUAAUAUAAUCCCUCUCUUGUAAUGAAUGAUUUAAUAAGUUGCACUUCUUUUCAGGAAGCAAUGUAUUUGAAGUGUCUUACAAUAUACUAAGGCUAUUUUUUUCAUGUCUCCUUCUAACACCCACCACUCAUCCUCUGUGUUCCAGCCAUACU
Heterocephalus glaber (naked mole-rat) is the source of this 894-nucleotide long non-coding RNA. RefSeq lists it as uncharacterized. The record is from RefSeq and is a predicted model, not a curated record. NCBI's taxonomy places the organism in Eukaryota, Metazoa, Chordata, Mammalia, Rodentia, Bathyergidae.